UGUCGCGUGGCCGAGUGGUGAGGUAAAGGCCUGCAAAGCCUUUUACGAUGGUUCGAAUCCAUCCGCGGCUAUCCA
RNAcentral lists this transfer RNA (75 nucleotides) under Chitinophaga chungangae. RNAcentral describes it as "Chitinophaga sp. MAH-28 tRNA-Cys". It matches the Rfam family "tRNA". Rfam says of the family: Transfer RNA (tRNA) molecules are approximately 80 nucleotides in length. Their secondary structure includes four short double-helical elements and three loops (D, anti-codon, and T loops). Further hydrogen bonds mediate the characteristic L-shaped molecular structure. tRNAs have two regions of fundamental functional importance: the anti-codon, which is responsible for specific mRNA codon recognition, and the 3' end, to which the tRNAs corresponding amino acid is attached (by aminoacyl-tRNA synthetases). tRNAs cope with the degeneracy of the genetic code in two manners: having more than one tRNA (with a specific anti-codon) for a particular amino acid; and 'wobble' base-pairing, i.e. permitting non-standard base-pairing at the 3rd anti-codon position. Lineage: Bacteria; Pseudomonadati; Bacteroidota; Chitinophagia; Chitinophagales; Chitinophagaceae. The record is from RNAcentral. RNAcentral also lists the same sequence under 1 other name.